RNAcentral lists this ribosomal RNA (498 nucleotides) under uncultured Bacteroidota bacterium. Its description in RNAcentral is "bacterial SSU rRNA". It matches the Rfam family "Bacterial small subunit ribosomal RNA", at positions 903 to 1382 of the family's 1533-position model. Lineage: Bacteria; Pseudomonadati; Bacteroidota. The record is from RNAcentral.
GCCAGCCCGCUCAGAAACUUAAAUGAAUUGACGGGGGCCCGCACAAGCGGAGGAGCAUGUGGUUUUAAUUCGAUGAUACGCGAGGAACCUUACCUGGGCUUAAAUGCUUAAUGACGUACUGGGAAACUGGUAUUUCUUCGGACAUUUUGCAAGGUGCUGCAUGGUUGUCGUCAGCUCGUGCCGUGAGGUGUCGGGUUAAGUCCCAUAACGAGCGCAACCCCUAUUGUUAGUUGCCAUCAGGUCAUGCUGGGGACUCUAACAAAACUGCCCGCGUAAGCGUGGAGGAAGGUGGGGAUGACGUCAAAUCAGCACGGCCCUUACGUCCAGGGCUACACACGUGCUACAAUGGCCGGUACAGAGGGCAGCCACUUGGUGACAAGGAGCAAAUCUCAAAAGCCGGUCUCAGUUCGGAUCGGAGUCUGCAACUCGACUCCGUGAAGUUGGAUUCGCUAGUAAUCGUAGAUCAGCAAUGCUACGGUGAAUACGUUCCCGGGCCUU